CCGAUUAAUCAAAAAUUGAAAAACUUAAAAAAAGGGGCAUGCCGGUUCCGACCAUAUGUCGGUAUGGUACCAAACCGGUACCAUACCGACCCGCCUACCAAUCGGUAUGGAUCCAAGUACCGGUUCAGCGGACUUUGGUCUCCAAAUUUGUUCAGUUAGAAUAGAUUCUCAAGUCAUUUUCCUAUACUUUUGUUCUUUUUUAAUUUAUUGAAGAGCUGAGAGGUCUGAGACAUGAAGUUUCUGUUGUUUAGGGUUCAAGAUCAUCAACGAGGCCAAUACAACUUAUCGAUCCUAGGCACGGAAUUGCGCGGGGCAACGAAUCGCGACAACUUAUCG
This 336-nucleotide long non-coding RNA is filed under the name Phoenix dactylifera (date palm). RNAcentral describes it as "long non-coding RNA (PDAC_LNC017848)". Lineage: Eukaryota; Viridiplantae; Streptophyta; Magnoliopsida; Arecales; Arecaceae. The record is from RNAcentral.